Molecule: long non-coding RNA, 470 nt
Filed under: Rattus norvegicus (Norway rat)
Lineage: Eukaryota; Metazoa; Chordata; Mammalia; Rodentia; Muridae
Description: long non-coding RNA NONRATT024565
Source: RNAcentral
ACCCAGAACUUGCUACACAGACCAGGCUGGCUUCAAACUCAACAAAGGUUUGCUUGCCUCUGCCUCCCAAGGAUUCAAGGCGUGUGCUGCCACACCCUGCCUGCUUACCUUACUUUUUAAGGCAGUCUUCCUGGUUUGGAACUCACCAAAUAGGGGGGCCAGCUAGCCAGCCUCAGCAGUCUGCUGUCUGUCCCUCGGCAGUCUGCUGUCUGUCCCUCCAGCACUGGGUUACAGCUGCAGUGCUGUUCCCUGCUUUUAAGGUGGGAACCAAAUGUAGGUGUCCUUGCUUGUGUCUCAAGCCCUUUGUCAGCAGAGCCAUCUCCUCAGCCCUUACCUCUGUGGUAGGAAUCCUCCUUUCAUGCCUUUGUGUGUGCUCCAGGGAAGGUUGGAAGGGCCCAGGACCCAGAAGCCUUUGCUCUGGUUCCCAAGUCCAAGUCCUUUACUUCCCAGGGGAGGUUAGAGUGCGGCCG